This is a microRNA precursor of Oryza rufipogon (brownbeard rice), 203 nucleotides long. It matches the Rfam family "MIR812 microRNA precursor family". NCBI's taxonomy places the organism in Eukaryota, Viridiplantae, Streptophyta, Magnoliopsida, Poales, Poaceae. The record is from Rfam.
AAAAAGACAAACCCUGAAUUUCCAUAUCCAACUUUGACUGUCUGUCUUAUAUAAAAUUUUUUUAUAAUUCGUAUUUUCAUUGUUGUUAGAUGAUAAAACAUGAUUAAUAUUUUAUGCGUGACUUGUCUUUUUAAUUUUUUUUAUAAUUUUUUAAUAAGACGGACGGUCAAACGUUGGGCACGGAAACCAGGGUUUGUCUUUUU